RNAcentral lists this long non-coding RNA (233 nucleotides) under Elaeis guineensis (African oil palm). RNAcentral's name for it is "long non-coding RNA (EGUI_LNC014096)". Lineage: Eukaryota; Viridiplantae; Streptophyta; Magnoliopsida; Arecales; Arecaceae. The record is from RNAcentral.
AUUGAAGUAAAAGAUUUUGAUAAACUUUAAGAUUAUCUAAACUAUGUGAUAAGGAUAAGAAAAAAAUUAAACUUACUGAGAACCUAGUUGGAUUAGUUCGUUAAUGUACGAAGCAGAAGAAAAAACCUUGGAAGCAUGUAAUCAUUGUCCUAAGUCAAAUUUCCGACUUUUGUAUUGGUAUUUAUCGAGAAUUCUACCUUAAGAUACGACUGAAAUACCCUUCUUUAGAGCAC